Long non-coding RNA from Quercus robur (English oak), 1858 nucleotides. RefSeq lists it as uncharacterized. The record is from RefSeq and is a predicted model, not a curated record. The transcript is spliced from 2 exons. Lineage: Eukaryota; Viridiplantae; Streptophyta; Magnoliopsida; Fagales; Fagaceae.
AAAAUCAGUUCUUUUCUCUCGCAAGUCGCAUCUCGAACUCGGACAGGUUUUCUCUCUCUGGCCGCCUUUUCGUCGCUCAUGUUCUUGGCUGAAUCACUAAAUCUAUUUUUUCUGUUCAUCUUCUUUCCAUAUUGCGAUUUACUCACAGAUGAAGGUUGAAUUUCACAAGUCUUAACUGAUUCCUCAAAAAAAAAAAAAAAUAAUAAUAAUAAUAAUUCCAGCACUGCUCAUCAUGUUGCUACAAAGUUGGUUUUUCUAGUUCAAUUUGGUUCUCUCGAGCACAAAUAUGUAUACUUUCUUUUUCUUAUUGUUGGUUAGCUUGGUAAUUAUGACACUAAAAAUUUGAAAGUUGUUUUGUGAAAGAAAUGGCAUGUUUGUAUUGUGUGUAUUUCAGGAUGCAUUUGCAUGGUUUAAACUAAUUACAACAUUACUUGGCAUGUUCAUACUGUUCCCUUUUUUUUACUGCCUUUUACUUGCACUUAUUACAACUUGUUAGGAAUUGAAAUCAUCAAUCUGGUCAUUCUGGAUUGCAACCUUUUGGCUCUUUUGAUUCAAUAUUAUAAUCCUUAAAAUUGAAGGAUAAUGUUUUUGCUAGUGUGAUUUUAUUUAGUUUGCCAGCCUGCUAUGCAUUUCUUGGCAUAGGUUUCUGGAAGAAGCAGAUAAAUUUAAAUUUUCUUCUUCAUUUGAGUGGUGGAAUUUAAGUAUUAGAUCAAGCUAUUUUUGAAAGUCAUAGGGCACUCAUUAUGCUUGAAUAAUUUUUUUUUUUUUUUUUUUCAAAUCAUUUCAUCUUUAAUUGAAAACAAUAAAUCACCGUUCUAAUCAUGCAGCUGAUCCCUGUGUAGUUAACCUCUGCUCUGUUAUUGAUUUCCAACUCUACUUUGUUUUAAUGAGCAUUCUAACCACCAAGAGGCUCCUUUCACCAAUGUGUUGUUCACUAGUUAUGGUUAUGGGACCAUUGUGGUGGGUUUGUCAAUGAUCAUGGAUUAUGGUGGAUUGUGUUUGUCCUAAUAGUUUGUAGUGCUAAUCAUAUUUAAUGUGCAUAUAGCUCUACUAUUGCUUCAAAUGUUUUAUGGUCUUGAAAUUACUGUUGGCUAAAUCAAGGCCAAAUAGGCCUCUCUGUAGUUUGUAUUGCCAAUUUGGGAAGUUUUAACCAAGAGGACAUGAAAUAGAAUAAGGUGGAGCCCAUAAGAACAUGAACAUUUGCAGUCUGAACUCUGAAGAACUAUGGAUGAAUGCUGUUUUUUUAGAACAAUUCCUCUAUUAUUGUUAUAUGCUUGGGAAAGUGACUCACACCUAGGAUAGAAUAGAAUACCCUGAUUUCUCACCACUAGUAAGGUCCAAGGUGAAAUGCCAUCCUGGACAUUUGUUGAAAGAUAUAUUUUCAAGACCCUUUGGUUCAAAUAUUAAAAGCAUUUCUAAUGAACUUCUCUCUUUUUAUUUCUAAUGAACAUAAUUGGUAUGUAUUUCUAAUGAACUUUUCUUUGUAAUUCUAAUUUUUUUGAAACGGAUUUAUGAGAUCAUGUGUGUAACAAGUUGUAGCCUUGACAUUCAGUUGGAAUUGUAAGACUUGUGUUCUCCAAAAUAAUUAGAGUUGUAAAGAAAGAUGGUAGAAAAGACUUGGGAGAAAUGCAACCAAUGUACUCCAUGUGAUGGUUAUACGUUCAAAUGGCCAAAGUUUACUGGCCUAAGCAUCAACCUGGGAGAAAUGCAAAUCAAUUGAGCAAGGACAACAAUCCUUUUUGUGAUGGUUAUACUUUCAAAAUUACAAAGUGUACUCAAAAUUGUAUCUUGCUUGGCUAAGUUAAUGAAAAUAAACUUACAAGGUGACUCCAUGUUGGAUGACCUUCUUGCACUUGGA